Molecule: ribosomal RNA, 372 nt
Filed under: Thraustochytriidae sp.
Lineage: Eukaryota; Bigyra; Thraustochytrida; Thraustochytriidae
Description: Thraustochytriaceae sp. partial small subunit ribosomal RNA
Rfam family: Eukaryotic small subunit ribosomal RNA
Source: RNAcentral
AUUCCAGCUCCAAUAGCGAAUACUAAUUCUGCUGCAGUUAAAAAGCUCGUAGUUGAACUUCUGGUAGGACAGAUCCGGCCUUUGGAUGAAUGUCCAUUGUAUGCUGUGUGUCUUGUCUGGCCAUCCUUUAUGUCUUUUAGGCGUAAUCUUUCACUGUAAAAAAAUUAGGGUGUUUCAAGCAAAAGUUAUUUGGAAUAUAUUAGUAUGGGAUGAUAAGAUAGGCUCUUGAGUGCUACUUUGUUGGUUUCGAACACCGGAGUAAUGAUUAACAGGGACAGUCAGGGGCACUCGUAUUCCGCCGAGAGAGGAGAAAUUCUCAGACCAGCGGAAGACGAACCACUGCGAAAGCAUUUGCCAGGGAUGUUUUCAUCG